AGUCCAGACUCCUACGGGAGGCAGCAGUGGGGAAUAUUGCACAAUGGGGGAAACCCUGAUGCAGCGACGCCGCGUGAGUGAAGAAGUCUUUCGGUAUGUAAAGCUCUAUCAGCAGGGAAGAAAAUGACGGUACCUGACCAAGAAGCCCCGGCUAACUACGUGCCAGCAGCCGCGGUAAUACGUAGGGGGCAAGCGUUAUCCGGAUUUACUGGGUGUAAAGGGAGCGUAGACGGUUGUGCAAGUCAGAAGUGAAAGCCCGGGGCUCAACUCCGGGACUGCUUUUGAAACUGUGAAGCUGGAGUGCAGGAGAGGUAAGCGGAAUUCCUGGUGUAGCGGUGAAAUGCGUAGAUAUCAGGAGGAACACCAGUGGCGAAGGCGGCUUACUGGACUGUAACUGACGUUGAGGCUCGAAAGCGUGGGGAGCAAACAGGAUUAGAUACCCCAGUAAU
This 449-nucleotide ribosomal RNA is filed under the name uncultured bacterium. RNAcentral describes it as "bacterial SSU rRNA". It matches the Rfam family "Bacterial small subunit ribosomal RNA", at positions 328 to 794 of the family's 1533-position model. The record is from RNAcentral.